Molecule: ribosomal RNA, 419 nt
Filed under: uncultured bacterium
Lineage: Bacteria
Description: bacterial SSU rRNA
Rfam family: Bacterial small subunit ribosomal RNA
Source: RNAcentral
AAUAUUGGUCAAUGGGCGGAAGCCUGAACCAGCCAUGCCGCGUGCAGGAAGACGGCCCUACGGGUUGUAAACUGCUUUUGUACUGGAAUAAACCUAUCUACGUGUAGAUAGCUGAAUGUACAGUAAGAAUAAGGAUCGGCUAACUCCGUGCCAGCAGCCGCGGUAAUACGGAGGAUCCGAGCGUUAUCCGGAUUUAUUGGGUUUAAAGGGUGCGUAGGUGGCCUGUUAAGUCAGGGGUGAAAGACGGUAGCUCAACUAUCGCAGUGCCUUUGAUACUGACGGGCUUGAAUACACUAGAGGUAGGCGGAAUGUGACAAGUAGCGGUGAAAUGCAUAGAUAUGUCACAGAACACCAAUUGCGAAGGCAGCUUACUAUGGUGCAAUUGACACUGAGGCACGAAAGCGUGGGGAUCAAACAGG